UAUAUACUCCCUCCGUUCUGAAUUACUCGCUGCAGAAAUGGAUGUAUCUAGAUGUAUUUUAGUUCUAGAUACAUUCAUUUCUACGACGAGUAAUUUGAAACGGAGGGAGUAUCAU
This is a non-coding RNA of Triticum aestivum (bread wheat), 115 nucleotides long. The record is from Rfam. NCBI's taxonomy places the organism in Eukaryota, Viridiplantae, Streptophyta, Magnoliopsida, Poales, Poaceae.